GGCAUAAGGAGAUAGCUCUCGUGUGCGGGCGAUUAAGUGGCACGAAUGACAAAAGUCGUUUGUAAAUCGCCCGCACACGAGAGCUAUCUCCUUACGCC
This 98-nucleotide microRNA precursor is filed under the name Paramuricea clavata. Lineage: Eukaryota; Metazoa; Cnidaria; Anthozoa; Malacalcyonacea; Plexauridae. The record is from RNAcentral.